Long non-coding RNA from Papaver somniferum (opium poppy), 486 nucleotides. RefSeq lists it as uncharacterized. The transcript is spliced from 4 exons. The record is from RefSeq and is a predicted model, not a curated record. Lineage: Eukaryota; Viridiplantae; Streptophyta; Magnoliopsida; Ranunculales; Papaveraceae.
GAGGAACAACUGUGAUUCUUCUUCGAACAGAUGCGAUUCUUCUUCGAUUGCGUGUUAGCUUCAGCAAUUUCAGUAUUAACUUCAGCAAUAUCUUUAUCGAUUUGCAGAGAAAUUUAGUUUCAGAAAAUGGUGAAGUGAAGAAUGGGUUGAAACGAGAUUUAGUUGCAGUUGAUAAACAAGUUUAUUAUGACAGUCUAGCAUCCAUUGCUUAACAGGUUUAUUUUGAAGCACUCCUAGAAAAAGGACAGUAGAGAAAGAUGCGGCAGAAAUCUUGCAGGAAAUUCCAGACAUAUCUAUCAUGGAUUGAUUAAACUAGUACUCAAAUCCAAGGACUCUUUUUUCAGUUUUUGGCAUCAUAGAUUCAGAUGGCUUGGCACCAAACUUGUUGCAUUUGAAUUAGUACUUUUUUGUGUUAACUGUUAACUAUCUUCUAUCUUUUGUUGCUUUUGAAUUACUGAAUUAGUACUCUUUUGUGUUAAGAAUCGC